Molecule: transfer RNA, 72 nt
Filed under: Solanum tuberosum (potato)
Lineage: Eukaryota; Viridiplantae; Streptophyta; Magnoliopsida; Solanales; Solanaceae
Rfam family: tRNA
About the family: Transfer RNA (tRNA) molecules are approximately 80 nucleotides in length. Their secondary structure includes four short double-helical elements and three loops (D, anti-codon, and T loops).
Source: Rfam by way of RNAcentral
GUCCCUCUCGUCCAGUGGUUAGGACAACGGCUUUUCAUGUCGAAGACACAUGUUCAAUUCCCGUAAGAGAUA